CGGACAGAGCCGGCGUAUCUGGCCCGCAUUCAGCUGUGCGCUCGUCAGCUUCGGCYGAYCGCCUCCAGAUUGGGGCGGCCAGCCGUUUGCUGGCGGGCUUGCAGUGCAUUUGCGGGUGGAGUGCGCCGAGACGCUCGGGGCAGCGGCACAAGCUCGGUUCAGAGGCCAACUUGUUUGGAACCCGUGCCGCGGGRAGUGCUGUUUGCUCUGGGUGAGCAGUUGGGGCGGUGGUUUCGGGCCCGGGUGGGUGCCGAGCCGGUGGUCGGUGGCGGUCGCAUGCGACACGUACCGGCGCCCGGUUCGGUCCUGCUCGAGCUCUCAACCGUGCGUUCUCGGUGUAAAAGCCGGUCAUCUGUCCGACCCGUCUUGAAACACGGACCAAGGAGUUUAGCGUGUGCGCGAGUCAUUGGGCGUUGAAAACCCAGCGGCGCAAUGAAAGUGAAGGUCUCCCUCGUUGGAGCUGACGUGUGAUCCUGGCCACCGCGGUGUGCCGGGCGCAACAUGGUCCCGUUCUGGCCGCAUGCGGCGGGGCGGAGACAGAGCGUACGCGCUGAG
RNAcentral lists this ribosomal RNA (555 nucleotides) under Scutellonema brachyurus. Its description in RNAcentral is "eukaryotic LSU rRNA". The stretch from base 378 to 555 matches the Rfam family "Eukaryotic large subunit ribosomal RNA", at positions 665 to 813 of the family's 3401-position model. The record is from RNAcentral. Lineage: Eukaryota; Metazoa; Nematoda; Chromadorea; Rhabditida; Hoplolaimidae.